UUACAACAAGCAUUAUCAAGAAGAAGAACGAACAACGCACGUAUACACAUAAAUUAAAGAAAACAAAAGCGAGUGGAAAUAAAAGAACAUGGUCCCGCCGGCAAAACAAAAUAAAGAAAAGCUAUAUAACUUGGAGCAGUUCAGAACGCAGAAUCCUUCUGGAAAAGCGCAUUGACAAGGAUGUUUGGUUCA
Rhagoletis pomonella (apple maggot) is the source of this 192-nucleotide long non-coding RNA. RefSeq lists it as uncharacterized. The record is from RefSeq and is a predicted model, not a curated record. The transcript is spliced from 2 exons. NCBI's taxonomy places the organism in Eukaryota, Metazoa, Arthropoda, Insecta, Diptera, Tephritidae.